GACGAACGCUGGCGGCGUGCUUAACACAUGCAAGUCGAACGGAAAGGCCCUGCUUUUGUGGGGUGCUCGAGUGGCGAACGGGUGAGUAACACGUGAGUAACCUGCCCUUGACUUUGGGAUAACUUCAGGAAACUGGGGCUAAUACCGGAUAGGAGCUCCUGCUGCAUGGUGGGGUUGGAAAGUUUCGGCGGUUGGGGAUGGACUCGCGGCUUAUCAGCUUGUUGGUGGGGUAGUGGCUUACCAAGGCUUUGACGGGUAGCCGGCCUGAGAGGGUGACCGGGCACAUUGGGACUGAGAUACGGCCCAGACUCCUACGGGAGGCAGCAGUGGGGAAUAUUGCACAAUGGGCGGAAGCCUGAUGCAGCAACGCCGCGUGCGGGAUGACGGCCUUCGGGUUGUAAACCGCUUUCGCCUGUGACGAAGCGGGAGUGACGGUAAUGGGUAAAGAAGCACCGGCUAACUACGUG
This 467-nucleotide ribosomal RNA is filed under the name uncultured bacterium. Its description in RNAcentral is "partial 16S ribosomal RNA". It matches the Rfam family "Bacterial small subunit ribosomal RNA", at positions 28 to 507 of the family's 1533-position model. The record is from RNAcentral.